GAUCCUGGCUUAGGAUGAACGCUAGCGGCAGGCUUAACACAUGCAAGUCGAGGGCAGCGCGGAGUAGCAAUACUCUGGCGGCGACCGGCGCACGGGUGCGUAACGCGUAUGCAACCUACCUGUAACAGGGGUAUAACGGAGUGAAAAUUCCACUAAUCCCCCAUAUUGUUGGAGAAUCGCAUGUUUUUCCAACGAAAGCUUUCUGUGGUUACGGAUGGGCAUGCGUGACAUUAGCUAGUUGGUAAGGUAACGGCUUACCAAGGCGACGAUGUCUAGGGGAGCUGAGAGGCUUAUCCCCCACACUGGUACUGAGACACGGACCAGACUCCUACGGGAGGCAGCAGUGAGGAAUAUUGGUCAAUGGACGGAAGUCUGAACCAGCCAUGCCGCGUGGAAGGGAAGAAGGUCCUAUGGGUUGUAAACUCCUUUUGUUCCGGAGUAAUAAGGGGCAUGCGUGCCUCGAUGAGAGUACGGGACGAAUAAGCAUCGGCUAACUCCGUGCCAGCCGCUGC
Molecule: ribosomal RNA, 512 nt
Filed under: uncultured bacterium
Lineage: Bacteria
Description: bacterial SSU rRNA
Rfam family: Bacterial small subunit ribosomal RNA
Source: RNAcentral